RNAcentral lists this ribosomal RNA (497 nucleotides) under uncultured bacterium. RNAcentral describes it as "partial 16S ribosomal RNA". It matches the Rfam family "Bacterial small subunit ribosomal RNA", at positions 28 to 507 of the family's 1533-position model. The record is from RNAcentral.
GAUGAACGCUGGCGGCGUGCCUAAUACAUGCAAGUCGAGCGAACAGAUGAGGAGCUUGCUCCUCUGACGUUAGCGGCGGACGGGUGAGUAACACGUGGAUAACCUACCUAUAAGACUGGGAUAACUUCGGGAAACCGGAGCUAAUACCGGAUAAUAUAUUGAACCGCAUGGUUCAAUAGUGAAAGACGGUUUUGCUGUCACUUAUAGAUGGAUCCGCGCCGCAUUAGCUAGUUGGUAAGGUAACGGCUUACCAAGGCAACGAUGCGUAGCCGACCUGAGAGGGUGAUCGGCCACACUGGAACUGAGACACGGUCCAGGCUCCUACGGGAGGCAGCAGUAGGGAAUCUUCCGCAAUGGGGGAAAGCCUGGCGGAGCAACGCCGCGUGAGUUAUGAAGGUCUUCGGAUCGUAAAACUCUGUUAUUAGGGAAGAACAAAUGUGUAAGUAACUAUGCACGUCUUGACGGUACCUAAUCAGAAAGCCACGGCUAACUACGUG